Non-coding RNA from Mus caroli (Ryukyu mouse), 4692 nucleotides. The record is from RefSeq and is a predicted model, not a curated record. NCBI's taxonomy places the organism in Eukaryota, Metazoa, Chordata, Mammalia, Rodentia, Muridae.
GUAGUUCAUUCCAAAUAUAGUCAAGUUGACAACCAGGAAUAGCCACUACAGGAGUCUUCAUGAGAGAUUCCCUAGCUGGGUGUGGUGGUUGGGGGCAGAAUGGGAAUGUCCCCCAUAGGCUCAGAUGUCUAAGCACGUGGUCUCCAGCCUGGCUGUUCGGGAGGUUCAGGAGAUGGGGUUUUGUAUGUCCUGGAGUAGGCUUUGAGAGAAUAAUUUACUCAUGUCACUUCCAAGCCGUUCUCUCUGCUUACAGCUUGCUGCUCGAGAUGUGAGUCUUCAGAUGUUCCUGCCGCCAUAUCUGACAGCUGCUGCCAAGAUUCCCUGGUGGGAUGGACUCUUAUACCUCGACAACCAGAAGCCCAAGGUAAAGUGUGAUGAUUCAAUCCAUACAUGCAAUGUGCACACAUCAAGUCAGCAGGAUUGGCCUUUCCGUCUUCUUGGACAUCUGUCGUGUCUUUGUGUCUGGAGCCUGCAAAGGCCUCUCUUCUAGCUCUUUAUAGCAGCUGCUCCCUCAGUGCAGGCCUCAGAGUGAAGACAAAGCGGAGCAGCACCACAGCAGACUGCUGAUGGGUGAGAGAGAGGCGUGAAUGACAUGUCAGCUGCUGGUGUAAGCCACAGAGGUCCUCAGGGUCACUUGUUCCUGGAGCAGGGCCAUAAUUUCCCUGAUGGCUUUGCCACGGUAACAUACCAUUUCUUUCACCAAAGUCAGCGAAAGGUAGAUUUCUGGGACUCUCCCUGACUUUUAAUGAGAGCCGCUACGGAAGUGCACGCCUCAGUGAGGAUGCCGGCCAGUAGGUGGAUGUCACUUGCCAUCUGCAUGACCUGCUUCCACACGCCUCUGUGCUGCUCACCUGCUACACAAGCCUGCUUCACUGACCUCAUUGCCUGGCUUUUCUAAUCCAACAAGGAGGGUCAAACAGCAAGUGGCUAUUGUGUUUGUACUCAAAGGGCAGUCACUAAACUAUUGAACAAAUGGAUAAAAAGUUAUUACGUUAUUAUCAACAGAUAAAAGAUCUGCCCAUUCUCUCUUUUACUUAAGAGGAGGCGUUGUUAUUUCGUAUUUUUCUCUCUCUUUGUCCUUCCUCCUUCUUCAUUGUUUUCUUUAUAACUAAGAUAACCCCAAUAAUAAUUACAGCUAUUGGCCCAGGAUAUAGCUCAAUGGUAGAGAAUAUUUUUAGGUACAUUAUACCAUACAUUCAAUUUCCAGAUCCCAAGCUUCCUAAAAGGAAGGAAGAAAAACUGUAACAACUGUAGCUAUUAUUUAUCGACCUUUGUUCAAGGAGGAACCAAGAUCCUCGGAGCCUUGAAGGCAAAGUCUGGCCACCCCUGAAGAAGGGAUUCGAUCAUUUAUUCCCAGUGAAAAUCUCCUUUCAGGUGACUGUGAUCGUCAUGUGGACCAUCUUAAUUAUAGGUUAAUGGUAGUUGUGGGGAUCAUAACAAAAUCACUAUUCAUGUUUAUUAUUGAAUGUCCGUAAUGAGCUGUGUCUUGCACGCAAUGUUAUUUAUGGGCUAAGUGCAAUUGUUAUUAUUAUGAUGAUGAUGAUGAUGAUGAUGAUGACGAUGACAUUUUGUCCCUAGAAAAUGAAGAUUUAGAGAGAUUCAGGGGAGCCUGGUGGUUAGCCACCUUCCAUUCAUGCAGCAAACAGUAAAUACUAUCGAAUGCUUCCUGUAAUUCAGGCAGUCUCGCUGACAUAAGUGGCUGCUACAACUAUUCAGGUAAUGGCCCUGUUCUCACAGAGCUUAUGUUCUAGUGAGAGAAGAAAAACAAGGGACAGGAAACUAAUAGACAAGAUGAUUUCAGGAAGUGACUAAUGCUCUAAGAAAAAUAAAACAGGAUGACUGGUAAUUGUAGAAGUUACUUUUCUCUUGUUGUGAGGAAAAAAACAGUAUGAACAAAGCGACUUACAAAAGAAACAAUGUAAUUGAGUUUUAUGGUUUCAAGGGUGAGUCCAAGAUGGCUCGGCAAAGGCAUGCUGGUAGGUAUAGCUGGCUGAGGGAUCUCAUCUUGCUGUAAGCAGGAGGCAGAGAACACACUGGGAGUAGUAGUAGUCUUUUGAAACAUCAAAGCCUGACCCCGGUGACACACUUCCUUCAGCAAGGCUACAUCUCCUAAUCCUUCCCAAACAGCCACCAACUAAGAACCAAAUGUUCACUGCCACAAUAAUAAUAAACAGGGACAGGGACAAUCACAGACAAUGGAGGAGGGAUGAGGGAGACAUAAGUAAUGUGAAGUCAACUAGGAUGGUUUGAACAAAAAUGUCCCUAUAGACUCAGAUGUUUGAAUACUUGGUGCCCUAGGUUGGUAGCACUGCUUGGGUAGGUUUAGGAGGUGUGGCCUUUCUGGAAGAAGUGUGUCACUGAGGCAGGGGUGGGGUGGAAUGCUGAGAUUUCAAAGCCACAAGCCAUUUCAAGUUUGUGCCCUCUGCUUUCUGUGUGUGGUUGGAGAUAGGCCCUCUCAGCUGUUAUUGCAUCCAUAUUUGGCACCUGCUGCCACGACUCCGUGUCCUAGGAUUCUUAGCCCCUUGGAACUGUAAGCCCAAGGAAACUCUUUCUUAUAAAUUGCCUUGUCCGUGGAGUCUUAUCACAGCAAUAGAAAAGUAGCUCACACAGUGAAGUGCAACUACUUAGUGAACCAACAAAUGCCAAGGUCCGAAGGGGAAGGACCUUGAUAUUUUCACCACAGUAACUGAGCUAGAAUGUAAAACUGGGUUAUCUGGGGUUUACUUCCUUUGUCGUUAUUGAGAUAUAUGUUUUACAUACUGUAAAGGCUGCCUAUUUAAAUAUAAGCUCAGUGUUCUAAAAGUAUUGUCACAGAUGGGUAUGUGCAUCGCGACUACUCAAUCCAAGAAUAUUCCCGGUGCCCCUGAAGCAGUCUUGGUUUCAUCAGUGUCAUCUCUCGCGGCUGGUCCCCUACCCUUGGGGAACCACUAAUCCACUUUCUGCCUCUCUGCAUUUGAAUACGUUACGUGAAUGGAUCCUGAGGAUACUCUCACGUCCAGAAGGUCACAAGGGCACCUGGAGGGCAUCGUGAGUGAACCUGUAUGGCUUCUCCACUAUUGAAAGCACACAUUUCUAACAGGAUGGGCAAUUGGAAGUUUUCUUUUUCAUUUACCAAUUACUCUGCUUAAAGAAGUAUGUGAGGAGCGUUGAGAGUUCCCAAGGUGCGAGAGAGACGGCGGGCUCUGAAGAACGUUAUCCUCCUCUCUGAAAGAAAAGACAUUUGCACAUGAAGGCAGCUGUGAUUUGGGAGUCCAUGAUGUGAGGUGUGUGAAGGGUCCCAGCAGAACUUCCAAAUGGAAUAUAAAAGGAGAUGAGAUCCUGGGGCAGCGGCGAGUUGAAAGGAAAAGGGAAGCAGAAGAAGACAAGGUGUUCUGCCAGAGAUUCCCUGCGUAAUCCACAGAGAGACAGACGGUUACAGAUGUGUGUGACUACACCCAGCUUUUUUACUUGGCUGCUGGGGAUCCAACCUGAAGAUCUCUUGCUUUUGCAGCAGGCACUGUCCCACUGAGCCUCAAAGUUACUGAAUAGGAGGAUCCUGUUAUGUAGUCCAGGUUGACCUUGAAAUCACAGCAGUUCUCUUGCCUUUGCCACCUACACGCUGGAAUUACGGACAUAGAUCACUAUACCCAGAAUAAUUUCCUCAUUUGUACCACCACAGGACACAGUAGAAUUCAAAUCCAACCAUACUGCAGAGAGACCCCACAGCAACUAACAUUUAAAACACAAAUGAACCCAGAGGGCAGAAGGAGAAAUGCUAAUAAAUGAAUCUGUGAAAGACAUUUAAAACUUUUAUAUGAUGCGGAUGAAGAUGAUGGCAAUGAGCAGCCGCAGACAGACACUGCAAGACUGAACAAAUACUUCACAUACUCCAAAUAAGAAUGGUGUUGGGUAGGGUGGUGCACACCUUUGAUCCCAGCACUUGGAGGAGGUAGAGGCGGGUGGACCUCCAAGUUCCAGGUUAGCCAGCACUACACCUUGAGAACCAGUUUCACAAAACAACGACGACAGGCCAAACAAACCCAAAGUAGGAACGGUCAAAAUUACUUGGAGAAAACGUUCACCUUCAUAGUGCUUAGAAAGAUGAAACCAUGACAACAUGCCCAUGGUUCUGUGAGUGACAGAUGCUUGGAGUUCAAGAAAAUAUGUUUUUUAGCAAUGUUACAGUAAAUGCACACUGCUGCUGGCCACCGAAUUGGACAGCGUGGACAGGUUACAAUUCGGAAGCAUUCCAUGGUGUGUGUGUGUGGUGCUGGGUUUGAACCUAGAGCCUUGCACAUGCUGGGCAAGGAAGAGCUGUCACUGAGAGGCAGCUCUGCUGUUCUUAUCUUGAAUGUACAUAUAUGAUUAGCUGGUCAUUUGUUUGAAGUAAUUUAUCCUGUGGAUAAAGUCACAACAGAGAUUCCUAAAGACAUGAAUGUAAGGUUAUUCACGGAAGCAUUGUUUAUAAUAAUAAUAGGUGAAAAUGGAAAGAAUUUAAAUGUUUGUUAAUUAGGCAAUGGUUGGCUUUAUGGCUUGCCUCGUGGCUGGCUAAAAGAUCUCCAUGUGCUAAUAUGGAAUGUUGCAGAUAUACUAUUAAAUACAACAUAAAGGAUACUGUAUAUAAUUUACUCUGCAUAGAAGCAUUGUAUGCAGGCUAGAGAGAUGGCUCAGUGGUUAAGAGCACUGACCGCUCUUCCAGAGGUCCUGAGUUCA